UACGUAGGGUGCAAGCGUUGUCCGGAAUUAUUGGGCGUAAAGAGCUCGUAGGCGGUCUGUCGCGUCUGCCGUGAAAAUUCGAGGCUCAACCUCGAACUUGCGGUGGGUACGGGCAGACUAGAGUGUGGUAGGGGAGACUGGAAUUCCUGGUGUAGCGGUGAAAUGCGCAGAUAUCAGGAGGAACACCGAUGGCGAAGGCAGGUCUCUGGGCCACUACUGACGCUGAGAAGCGAAAGCAUGGGGAGCGAACAGG
Molecule: ribosomal RNA, 253 nt
Filed under: uncultured bacterium
Lineage: Bacteria
Description: partial 16S ribosomal RNA
Rfam family: Bacterial small subunit ribosomal RNA
Source: RNAcentral